UCUCAGUGAUGAUCAAAACGAUGACGAGUCUGAUGAAAUCCAUUCAAAACAAUUGUGAGGACAAAACGAGGCAUUUGUCUGAGAGAAUUCCACACUUACAUUCUAUUAUGUUUUCAUUUGUUUUUUGUAGUUAUAUAUAUGUUGGCACUAUGAUGAUUGAUUUUAUUGUCAUAUGAUAUUUUAUAUGAUUAAAAAAUCCUCCUACUCAUUCUGAGUGCCAUUCAAAAUAUAAUUUAUUUUUUUCUUAUAACUUAAUAUGAGAUCACUGUGAUGACUACAUAAAAUUCAAGCUCAACAGACCGCAGUGCAGGGCUUUCUUCUCUUUUGAGAGAUUGAUUGCUUUGCGUGUCGAUAACCCCGCUGAACUGAGUGAUCUCUCUUUUAAUUUAUUUUUAAUUUUCGUUUCGAUUUAUUUGUUGACGAUGAGGAUACAAAGCUCCCUCUUCUGAUUUUCAGGUGAGGACAAUUGCAGGCAGAAUCGAACCUAAACAAAUCUAGCCACCACUGAGUCAACUCUUAAUUUUGUAUUGAACGUUUAAUUUCUAUGUCAAGUCCGUGAUGUGUUUUUAUUUGCCUACAUUGUCUGAUAAUCUUUUUUAGAUUAAGAUGUGUUUGAAUAACCUGAGACCUCA
This 632-nucleotide long non-coding RNA is filed under the name Medicago truncatula (barrel medic). RNAcentral's name for it is "lncRNA gene48580". The stretch from base 261 to 375 matches the Rfam family "Small nucleolar RNA Z107/R87". The record is from RNAcentral. Lineage: Eukaryota; Viridiplantae; Streptophyta; Magnoliopsida; Fabales; Fabaceae.